CACACUGAAUUCUCUCUCCCAUUCCCAAACACAACCCCACUGCAGACAAUGACCUGUGAUGGAUUAAUUUGCUAUUUUUGAGCAAUGACUUCACUCAUUUCUUGCGUUCCCUACCUCAAAUUCCCUGCAGGAAUCAAAGCCUGGAGAGUCUUAGACCUGGAGACCAGAGCUGCAGGCAGACUUGGCAAGCUCCUGACAUCCAUCUCAGCUCCAUGUUCAGCUGAUAUAAAUGAGAAAUGUUUGAUUAUGGACCAGGACUUCAGAUCUCCCACCACAGUGUAGACUUGGGCUCAGAUCAGUAAAACCAAAGAUUGCAGGUUACAAGUUUCAAAUUGCAAGUAAAUACUCUUCUGUUUCCUUUUUUUUUUUCUUCUUUUCUGUCCAAAUGUUAGUUAGCAAAGCCAGUGAAAUUUUGUUUUGUGAGGCAUGAAAUUAAAGCAAAC
RNAcentral lists this long non-coding RNA (443 nucleotides) under Zonotrichia albicollis (white-throated sparrow). RNAcentral's name for it is "lncRNA (ENSZALG00000000769.1)". Lineage: Eukaryota; Metazoa; Chordata; Aves; Passeriformes; Passerellidae. The record is from RNAcentral.